UACAGUCAGCGGCCAAGGGAAACCGUUAAGCAUCCCACCUGGGGAGUACGCCGGCAACGGUGAAACUCAAAGGAAUUGACGGGGGCCCGCACAAGCGGAGGAACAUGUGGUUUAAUUCGAUGAUACGCGAGGAACCUUACCCGGGCUUGAACUGCAGCAGAACGAUAGAGAGAUCUUGAGGCCCUUCGGGGCUGCUGUGGAGGUGCUGCAUGGUUGUCGUCAGCUCGUGCCGUGAGGUGUCGGCUUAAGUGCCAUAACGAGCGCAACCCCUUUCGUCAGUUGCCAUCAGGUGAUGCUGGGCACUCUGGCGACACUGCCACCGUAAGGUGCGAGGAAGGUGGGGAUGACGUCAAAUCAGCACGGCCCUUACGUCCGGGGCUACACACGUGUUACAAUGGGGGGUACAGAGAGUCAGGUGCCGGCAACGUCGCCUUAAUCAUGAAAGCCCUCCUCAGUUCGGAUUGGGGUCUGCAACCCGACCCCAUGAAGCUGGAUUCGCUAGUAAUCGCGCAUCAGCCAUGGCGCGGUGAAUACGUUCCCGGGCCUUGUACACACCGCCCGUCAAGCCAUGAAAGCCGGGGGCGCUUGAAGUCCGUGACCGCGAGGAUCGGCCUAGAGCGAAACUGGUAAUUGGGGCUAAGUCGUAACAAGGUAGCCGUA
RNAcentral lists this ribosomal RNA (660 nucleotides) under uncultured Prevotella sp. RNAcentral describes it as "bacterial SSU rRNA". It matches the Rfam family "Bacterial small subunit ribosomal RNA", at positions 835 to 1504 of the family's 1533-position model. The record is from RNAcentral. Lineage: Bacteria; Pseudomonadati; Bacteroidota; Bacteroidia; Bacteroidales; Prevotellaceae.